Molecule: ribosomal RNA, 462 nt
Filed under: uncultured Pelotomaculum sp.
Lineage: Bacteria; Bacillati; Bacillota; Clostridia; Eubacteriales; Desulfotomaculaceae
Description: bacterial SSU rRNA
Rfam family: Bacterial small subunit ribosomal RNA
Source: RNAcentral
GCACAAGCGGUGGAGCAUGUGUUUAAUUCGACGCAACGCGAAGAACCUUACCAGGGCUUGACAUCCCCUGACCGCGUAUGAAAGUACGUUUUCACCCUCGGGUGACAGGGAGACAGGUGGUGCAUGGUUGUCGUCAGCUCGUGUCGUGAGAUGUUGGGUUAAGUCCCGCAACGAGCGCAACCCCUACGUUUAGUUGCUAACAGGUGAAGCUGAGCACUCUAGACGAACUGCCGUUGACAAAACGGAGGAAGGUGGGGAUGACGUCAAAUCAUCAUGCCCCUUAUGUUCUGGGCUACACACGUGCUACAAUGGCCGGUACAGACGGAGGCGAAGCCGCGAGGCGGAGCAAAUCCGAAAAAGCCGGUCUCAGUUCGGAUUGCAGGCUGCAAUUCGCCUGCAUGAAGUCGGAAUCGCUAGUAAUCGCAGGUCAGCAUACUGCGGUCGAAUACGUUCCCGGGCCUU